AUAUUUUUUGCUGUGUUACCUCUGCUGCUAAUGAAAAACAUCGGAUGUUCCCUUCACUUCACAAAAUGCAAACUCAGACAAAAAUAUUUCACAGGGCAGUACUAACUUGGGCACCUUGACUUUUGAAAAUGAUCCUCAAGUGAAUGAAUAUGGCCCAACACUAGAUGCCAUUUACACUGGUGUAAAGCAACAGUAAAUCUGCUGAAACCAAGGGGAUUACAUUGUUGUAAAAAAAAACCCUGGGAAAACAGAAUCAGAUAAAUCUCACCCUGCAAAUUCUGCAUCCGUCCUAUAACUACUAUUUGAGGGAUAAUAUGUCUUUAAGAAAGACAUCCAGUCUUGAUUUAAAGAUGCCAAGUGACGGAACAUCUACCACAUCCUUAGGUCAUUGAUAAACAUUGGACCAAGAACAUUUCCCUCUGGGACCCCAUUAGAAGCAACCCAUUGGAUGAUGAUUGACCAUUUACAAUUACUUCUUGAGAUCUAUCAUUUAACUGGAUUUUAAUCAAUUUAAUUUGGGCUACGCUGAUUUUGCAUAGCACUAUUUUUAUUAAUCAGCAUGUCAUGUGGGAAUAAGUGUAAGACUUACAGAAGUCUAAGUAUAUUAU
This is a long non-coding RNA of Mauremys reevesii (Reeves's turtle), 608 nucleotides long. RefSeq lists it as uncharacterized. The record is from RefSeq and is a predicted model, not a curated record. The transcript has 4 exons. NCBI's taxonomy places the organism in Eukaryota, Metazoa, Chordata, Testudines, Geoemydidae.